GAGUGGUGACGCACCAGCAGUUCCGUAUCCACGUUGCUCAUCAGGAAGUCUCGUGUCAGCAGUGGCAAGCGCACACACUUCAUGAGCUGAAGACAUGGAUGGAAAGAGUGACAAACUAAGUCAAAAGAAUCAAGACUUCCCAGACUACAGGGAGGAGGAGAGAAGAUCAAGAGAUUCUGUUUUUAAAAAGCUCAAGGCCAAUGUGACAGGAAGUGGUGUCAGUGACAUAUAUAUAAUUAGACAUCCGUAGCUAAAACCAUUUUUCCUCCGAGGAUUGUUAUGGCUCAGCUCCCCAGCACUCUCUAUGUAUCAUUUAACGGGUACACUUUACACCCCUCUUUUUACACCCUGAAUAAAUCUAUUCUUGAUUCCUUCUUCGUUAAUAAUUAGUUUGAAUAUUUUAUGACCCUGGGCGUUUCAGUCUGUUCUUCACACAAAGCUAUUAUAUAGGGGUGGGCGAUAUGACCAAAAUCUUACAGCACAGUGAGUCAUUUUAUUUCAUGGUAAAGAUAUAUAAUAUAUAGUUAUUUUCGCUUUAAGUAAGGUCUUUUUAAUAUCAACAUCUUUGAUACCAUAGAAAUUUCACAAUUCUUCACAAAAAAUUAAUACUAGCCUAAAUU
This is a long non-coding RNA of Labeo rohita (rohu), 620 nucleotides long. RefSeq lists it as uncharacterized. The transcript is spliced from 2 exons. The record is from RefSeq and is a predicted model, not a curated record. NCBI's taxonomy places the organism in Eukaryota, Metazoa, Chordata, Actinopteri, Cypriniformes, Cyprinidae.